Molecule: long non-coding RNA, 833 nt
Organism: Lynx canadensis (Canada lynx)
Lineage: Eukaryota; Metazoa; Chordata; Mammalia; Carnivora; Felidae
Exons: 5
Source: RefSeq, a predicted model, not a curated record
AGCUUAUGUCUGAAUUUUGGAAAGCGUUCUCUGACUCUUUGAAUCUGUGCUGGCUGAUAACUCCAAGAAGCAGCUCUGGUCAUUUGAAUCAGGCUUGCCUAGACUCUGAAGCUUUUGGAGUGAGGAGAUAACAGGAGGAUGCUGUCCAUUCCAGCUGGUCCCUGAUAUUGACGUGGGUGCUGUUUUGGCCUCAAUCCUGCCCUGUGCCUGUAUUCACUGAGUGGGAUUUCCCCACCAGAAACCUUCGCAUUCUCUGAGUCAUUUGGACUUGGACUUACUUGUCCAGAAGUUUUAGUUCCUGGAGAACUUGAGAAGGACUCCUUCUCCAGUUGUUGGACUUUAUUCCCCCUGCUGCUGCUCCACACCGCCACAGCUUAUUCAGUCACUGGACAGUUCUUGGUGAAGAAUGAUACUUCUUAUUGCAGCGUGCCCCUUCUGCCUUGGCAAAGACCCAGCACAUUCUUCCACCUGAUGGUUUGAUGAAAAACCAAGGUUCAAUAAGAAGCCCUUUGUCUUGGGGAAACUGAAUUUUCCUGCUGAGAUGGUAGACCAUACUUGGUUCUGUUUCCAGUUCGAAAUAGUGCCAUAUUUAUCAAACAACACUUUUAAAUAUCAUUUGAGAAAUUUAUGGGAUCUUCACUUUUCUUAUUUGUAAAUGAUGUAGUGUUUAAUAUAUCCAAAUGAAUUUAUACAAAUAAAUGCACAUUAUAAAGCAUAAUAAUUUGGAAUACAAAUAUAAUGGGAAAUCUCAUUUUAAUUUUUAUCCAUAUGAACUGUCCUGUUGCAAUGUAUAAAUGCAAGAAUAUAUCUUCACGUAAAUAUUUUCAAUAAAA